Molecule: ribosomal RNA, 400 nt
Filed under: uncultured bacterium
Lineage: Bacteria
Description: bacterial SSU rRNA
Rfam family: Bacterial small subunit ribosomal RNA
Source: RNAcentral
GGGGAAUAUUGGACAAUGGGCGAAAGCCUGAUCCAGCCAUGCCGCGUGAGUGAUGAAGGCCCUAGGGUUGUAAAGCUCUUUCAGUGGGGAAGAUAAUGACGGUACCCACAGAAGAAGCCCCGGCUAACUUCGUGCCAGCAGCCGCGGUAAUACGAAGGGGGCUAGCGUUGUUCGGAUUUACUGGGCGUAAAGCGCACGUAGGCGGAUUGUUAAGUUAGAGGUGAAAUCCCGGGGCUCAACCCCGGAACUGCCUUUGAUACUGGCAAUCUCGAGUCCGGAAGAGGUGAGUGGAAUUCCGAGUGUAGAGGUGAAAUUCGUAGAUAUUCGGAGGAACACCAGUGGCGAAGGCGGCUCACUGGUCCGGUACUGACGCUGAGGUGCGAAAGCGUGGGGAGCAAAC